Molecule: long non-coding RNA, 321 nt
Filed under: Prunus persica (peach)
Lineage: Eukaryota; Viridiplantae; Streptophyta; Magnoliopsida; Rosales; Rosaceae
Description: long non-coding RNA (PPER_LNC000800)
Source: RNAcentral
GCCAAAAAGCGUCCUAAGAGAGAAGCAUGGUGCGCUAGGAAUUUCCCAAAAGAAGGUCUUCAUGCUUUCUAAGGGAGGUAUCUAGGUUCCUAUCCGUUUCUUAAGGGAGGCAGGAUAGUCACACAGUUGCCCAUAAGGAGCGUCCUAAGAGAGACGCUGGGUGCGCUAGGAAUUUCCCAAAAGAAGGUCUCCAUGCUUUUUUAGGGAGGUAUCCAGGUCCCUAUCCGUUUCCUAAGGGAGGCAGGAUAGUCAUGCAAUUGCCCAUAAGCAGCGUCCUUUGGGAGACGCAGGGCAACGACCAAGGCAUCCUACGGAACGUGC